Molecule: long non-coding RNA, 185 nt
Organism: Xenopus tropicalis (tropical clawed frog)
Lineage: Eukaryota; Metazoa; Chordata; Amphibia; Anura; Pipidae
Exons: 3
Source: RefSeq, a predicted model, not a curated record
CUGCGCGAUGUCCAUUUCCUUGCGGUUAUUCCGCUUCCUGGAAUUCGAUUUGGGAGAAAAGCCCCCACGGAUAACCGCAGUGAGGUUCCACAGACGGACGGAAAACAAACAAAUUGUCCUGGAUUUGGACAUUAGCUUUGAUGGACCUAUUGAGGUUGAAGUGGCUCUUUUCAAGCGCUUCCUGA